This 1752-nucleotide unclassified non-coding RNA is filed under the name Hevea brasiliensis (rubber tree). The record is from RNAcentral. Lineage: Eukaryota; Viridiplantae; Streptophyta; Magnoliopsida; Malpighiales; Euphorbiaceae.
GAAAGAAUCUAUUUACAGUGAAAGACAGACCACAAAGCCAUUGUCCCGAUGGCAUUAUCAGGAAGCAAUCAAGCAAACCCUAUAAUUGCUCGCCACGUGUCAAAUUCUUAUUUAGACUCCUAGAUUUCAUUGGAUGAGAUAUAGAUCCCACAUCAUAUCCUCAACUUUUAGCUCCUCUGCUCACUUGAUAAGCGUAUUCAUCUUUCUUCUUCUUCCAGUUCCACCACCACCAGCGGACCCGAGAAAAAUGGCAGCAGAGAUGGCCCUUGUGAAAGCAAUCUCCGCCCCUAAAUUUGGCAGCCCAAGAAGAACAUUUUCUUACUCCAAAUUCACCAGCAUUAAAAUUUCUGCCACUGCGCAGACUACCAGUAUCCCAAAGCCAAAGCCAAGCAAGAAAGCUAACAAAACUGAAAUCAAAGAGACCCUCUUGACACCAAGAUUCUACACCACUGAUUUUGAUGAGAUGGAGAUCCUUUUCAAUACUGAGAUCAACAAAAAACUUAACCAGUCUGAGUUUGAGGCGCUUCUGCAAGAAUUCAAGACGGACUACAACCAGACCCACUUUGUCAGGAACAAGGAGUUCAAGGAAGCUGCUGAUAAGAUGGAAGGCCCUUCGAGGAAUAUCUUUGUUGAGUUCUUGGAGAGGUCAUGCACUGCAGAGUUCUCUGGCUUCCUUCUCUACAAAGAGCUUGGGAGGAGGCUCAAAAAAACCAAUCCAGUGGUGGCAGAGAUUUUCUCUCUAAUGUCCAGGGAUGAAGCCAGGCAUGCUGGGUUUUUGAACAAGGGUUUGUCUGAUUUCAAUCUGGCAUUGGACUUGGGAUUCUUGACUAAGGCUAGGAAGUACACUUUUUUCAAGCCAAAGUUCAUUUUCUAUGCUACAUAUUUGUCUGAGAAAAUUGGAUACUGGAGAUAUAUUACUAUUUACAGACAUCUCAAGGCCAAUCCUGAGUACCAGUGCUAUCCCAUUUUCAAGUACUUUGAGAAUUGGUGCCAAGAUGAGAACAGGCAUGGCGAUUUCUUCUCUGCAUUGCUGAAGGCGCAGCCCCAAUUUCUCAAUGAUUGGAAAGCUAAGUUGUGGUCUCGAUUCUUCUGCUUAUCGGUCUAUGUGACAAUGUACCUCAAUGAUUGCCAGCGAACAGCUUUCUAUGAAGGCAUUGGAUUGGACACCAAAGAAUUUGACAUGCAUGUUAUUUUUGAGGUGAGACUGACUCUCUGUACAUCAAGUAUAUAUUUAUACUAUUUACUUUGCCUUUUCAAGCUCAAUUAGUGGUGAUGUGUGACACAAUUAUCUGUUAUUAUUUCUUAUAUCUUUCCGAUACAAGUUUUUAAGUUUGAAAAGGUUAGUAUUGGCGUCGUUCCUCAACUUAAUUUGUAUAAUCUGCCAACGUCAACUUGUGAAGGAGCUAAUAGGAUGUUCAGCAGUGGUCAAAUCAUUAGAUUUAUAGAAGUGUAUGAAGAUUAUUAUGUGAAUUUUUUUUUAUGCAGACAAACCGUACGACUGCAAGAAUUUUCCCAGCUGUGCUGGAUGUUGAGAACCCGGAAUUCAAGAGGAAGUUGGACCGUAUGGUGGAAAUUAACCAGAAGUUGCUUGCUGUUGGGGAAAGCCAAGACAUUUCAUUGGUGAAGAACUUGAAGAGGAUUCCACUUGUUGCAGCAUUGGUUUCUGAACUCUUGGCUGCAUAUCUGAUGCCGCCAAUUGAAUCUGGAUCUGUAGAUUUUUCAGAGUUUGAACCACAACUACUUUACUGAUAA